UUGAAAUCCUCCUGCCUCCAGCUCUCAGAGUGCUGGAAUUACAGGCAUGCACCUCCAUGCCUUGCUCAUUUAGCAAUUCCUUGGCAACACCAAUGAGCUCUUUGGUGCUAACCACUAGACAGUGCAUGACCACGAAGCAAAGAAUCGAAUGAAGGCACCCAGGCUGGAGAACGGGGUGCACCUCACCUUUCAGGGCGCAGACUCUGUGUGACCGUGAGUUUAUCAUUCUACCAGGGAUCCAUAAAGUGGGGACAGCUGAGAGUCUAAGCGGGUGUCCCCAGUUCCCACUACACACCCCGGGAGCCUUGCAUCCUUGCUGCUACCUGCAGCGAGAGGAACUUUCAAUCCCACUCAACGCUGAGGACCCAUGUGGCUUUCGAGCGUGGCCUGCCCUCCACAUGCAGCUGGUGGAGAGGGGGCACCGCACACCUGGAAAUGCAUUUUCCUCUAGUUUGGCCUUGAGGUCUUUCUCUGGACAGUGUCGAAAAGGCAAGUGACCACUUCCAAGGAUGGACCAGAGGGUAGAGAGGUGGGCUGGUGGUGGUCGGGGGAACACAGUGUCACUGGAUUCCAAAAGACAGGAGAGACCAGUGGGAAUCGGGAGGAUUUAUUUCAGGUUUUAGGGUCAACGCAGGCACAACAGACUCCUGUCCAAAGGAAGAGUGUUGGACAAAGAAAAGUUCCUGCUUUUAUACAUUUGAUCGAAGAUGGGUAGUCUUUCUGUUGACACAGCAAAUGAGUUUACCAGAACAGGUUGAGGGCAGUCAGUUUUGUAACUUAGCCUUGAAAGAAGACAGUGUCUUAUGAAUCAUAUGAGAACAGGGUGUCAUAAACUUUGCUUACAGGACAUAGUUGUCAAUUUUAUCUCCUUGUACCAGAACAAGGAGUUACAGCUACAAGGGAGAGGGUGUGACCCAAGGGCUGGGGCUGCCCAAGGCUGGGAAGAAGUUGUUUCUCUGUAAGUCCUGCUUCAGCAUGAGGCAACUCACCAAAGCUGAGAGAGGAAGGGACCCUCCAGGGCCCCCAGGAAGUCCAGAGAUAGCAGGAGCUCCACCAGUGGAAGAGGGAAGGGAGAGGAGAGAGGGACUUGUGGAGCAGAACCUUCUCUGGGUUCAGAACAUUCCCCAGGGGGGGAUUCCCAUAGGGACUCUGAUUGGUGGGUUUAGGGCACCAAUCAGGCAUGAGCUAGGUGGACUAACACCAUUGCUAUCGGAGGUGGGCGUGGCAGAGCUGGCUGGAAGAAGAAGGCAGGAUCUGCCAAUGACAAGGUCCCAGGACAGUGCCAAAUAAUUCCCAGGGCCCCGUAUGUAGAACUUCUUGAAGGCUCCCUUCAGAUGUGGACAACGUAAAGAGACAAGACGACACGAGGAUCCACUACUGUGAUUCUUCAUGGUAGACCACCCUGUGUCUCCUGCACUUUUAUUUUUGCUUUUAUCCUUUCUUUCAUUUUUCCCUUACCCCUUCAACCCUCACCUUUGAAAUAUACUUUUCUUUGUUCCAGACAAAAGGACCUGGGAUAGUUCUGUUUGGCAAGCCGUUUUUAAAGGGACUACCCGACAGCACUGUGACUGGUUGGUCUGUGUGUCCUGCAAGCAUGGCCGGUGCCCACACAGCCCAGUGCCAACUCAGAUUCCUCAUGCCCAGAGAGGAAGCUGGACUUUCCCGAGCGCCUCCUGCUGGCCUUUCCAUCACAACCCGAGGCCAAAGCACUGGGACAAAAACACCUGUGUGCUCUCAACUGAAGAGGGGAGCACAGAGAUUCUAAGGACAGGGACAUGAGUCCCGGUCCUGUCUGAGGGAGCCUCUGUCCCCCGGUGGAAAGGAAAAUGGGCAGCUGCAGGAGCAUGCUGUGCCAGUAGGAAUGCGGUACCCUGAGGCCCUCAAGUCCUUCCAGGGGUUCACCGGCCACACGGCUGCUCUGGGGAACACCAACCAUCCACCACAGGAAGAAACCACACAGGAACAUCCGCUUCUGCGCAGGGACAGAGCCCUGGAGGCCCACCUUCUUGAAGUCCCACUCCCAAUGCCGCCACCCUGGGCUUUCAGCCUCAACAGUGAGAGUUACACGAAUUUAAGCCAGACCAGACCAGGCUGCCGGGGACUGCGGGAUGGAGGAUCUGAGCUGACAUGACAUCAAGGGCUGGAAAGGCUGUCGCUUCUCUGUGCCACCCCAAGGACCUCAGUGGGGCAGGAGCGGGCUGAGCCGAGAGAGUCUGGACCGCAUUCGAUGCCACUCUGCCGCCCUGCGCCUUUGGGUCCAUGUCCGCUCUGAUGAGCCAGUGAGGGACAAGCCACACAGCCCUGUGCAGCCGGGCGGCAUGGGCAGUCAAGCCAUCUGCAUCUCAAGGGUGCUGCAAAGAACAGAGCACCGGCAAAAUCAUCCCCACGGAGCGGAGCCAGGAUGGCCCGCCAGCGGGAGCAGGCCUGGAAACCGACCCACACAGCUGCUGCCACACAGCCGUCAGGCCUGCCUCCAAGUUCUGCUUUGGGUUAUUUAUAUUUUCUCCUGCCUCCUAUUGUAAAGCCCGCCCGGGGGAAAUGCUGGAGCACAGGGCGCUGCUGUCUUCCAGUCCUAAAGAGCAGCUCCAGGCACCGGCUAUUGCAGCUGCCAAGGAAAUGAUCUCAACACAGCACAUUCCCUUCCCAGGAGGCACAGAUCUCAGUGUCCACCAUGAAGGUCCCCGCAGGGUCCCGGGCUCCUGCUGAGACAGCACCGCUGCCGCCAGGCGUUGGCUGGGUGAGGGCUGAGGAGGGGAUGGCGACAGCUCCCUUUGACCUGGACCAAAGGCCGCAGAGACCAACCUGCUGCUCACCGUGGCUUUGCAAGGCCAGGAGGAGACUCACACUGAGGGCGGCCUGGACCACCUGCUCCUUGCCAGUGCCUGUCUGACUGCUGGCACCCGGGCUGUGUGCCUUCGACUGUCACCGUGGGCCCCUGCUGUUCCCCGCCCCGUCCCUUCUCCACAGUCUGUCACCUGUAGGGGACUUGCAAGAGGUGCCGUGUUCCCCGCUGGGACACCACCAUGAGACCCGCCCUUGUUCCUCACCAUGCCGACGCCGGGCCACCCGCACACAGUCUCAGCUGCACUGGGGGACCAGGAAUUGGGGGUUUGAGAGCUCCUCUGGUGAGUCCCACGUCCAGCCAGGCUGGGAACUCCUCCUGCCCUAAGAUGUCUGCCCGCCCAGCUGGCCGGAGCCCACUCCCCUCAUCCUGCCCUUCACUUCUGCCUCCAUUGGCACAGAACAGCUGAGGACAAGGUGGCCCUAAGCAGGUCCUGAGACCACAGGCCAAACCCACAGAAGGAGGCCAACUGUCCCAUGCCCCUGUCUGCCUGCACGGAGGACAGACGAGGGCACGGAGAGAAGGCACAGAUGGACGCACAGGGCACCACGCUCCAGCGGGCCAGGGCGUCUGGGCCGAGCCAGUCAUCCUGAGGUCCGGGAGUUUCUGAGAGAAAAUAAGGUUUUGCCUGUCCCCUCAGCUUCCAUUUCACAUAGCGGGAGCCAAGCCUGGGCAAGCAGACCAGAAGGAAUUUCUCAGUGUGGACCAGGAAAGGAAAGGACAGAAGCCAGAAAAGCAAAGCGAACUCUCUCCCACUAUGCUCUGAGCACUCAGGUCUCACGGCCAUAGUGCUGCCUCUGUUUAAUGCAGGGAAAUAGCUGCAGCCACUCUGCCCACCUCAGCUUCCCUCUGCACCCCAUUUCCAUUUCUGUCCCCACUGCCAUCUUCCUGUCCUUUCUGCCCUGAACAGGCAGGAGCUCUGCACCUGCCUGGCUCCCAGAACAGCCCGGUAACAGCAACCCAGAGAAAAGCAAAUAAGACUUUGCAAAACCAGAGCUGUUGUCAUUUAUCUUUUCACGAGUCCCCCAGCUUCACAUCAACCACCAGAUCGUCCUCCUGAAGCUCCAAGAGGGCUCGGGCUCAGGAAGCUGCGUCAGACCUCGGGGAAGUCUGCGGGGGAGUGGAGCCCUGUGGGUUGGGCAGGCUCAGUGGGGCCUGGCUGAGCCAGCGGCCAGGACAGAGCCCCCGCCACCGAAUGGGUGGGCAGCAAUUCCUUUGCCUCUGAGGACCCCGAAACAUGGUGAGGCUGGUGGAGUUGGGGCCCAGAGACCCUCACACGCACCACAGCCAAAUGACACCGCAGAAGUGGCAGCCAAUCAGAUGCAAAACCUCCGCCCCCCCAACCUGCAUCCAUCACAGAAGGGACGCCCCUGGGUGGCACCCCACCACCUGGGCCUCAGCAGCCUGCAGGUGUGGCACCGGGGACGGGAAGGGGCAGACACUGGAUUCUCCUUCUGCAGGGGGCCCCCUGGACUUGGAGGGGG
This is a long non-coding RNA of Fukomys damarensis (Damara mole-rat), 4326 nucleotides long. RefSeq lists it as uncharacterized. The transcript is spliced from 4 exons. NCBI's taxonomy places the organism in Eukaryota, Metazoa, Chordata, Mammalia, Rodentia, Bathyergidae. The record is from RefSeq and is a predicted model, not a curated record.